UAAAACUUCUUUGCAAUUUCAAAGUAGAUGUGAUUAAAUAGUCUCAUAUGACAGAUAUGGAAUUCGAUAUGAUCCGUGUCGAUGCAGCAAUUACCAAUGGUGUCCAAAGGAUCUGAUAGCUGAGUUGUGUCCAGUAUUCCAAUUGCCGCAGAUUCAAGGCUCUCUGAAUAUUUAUCCGAAAACGAUCAGGCAAUGUGACAUGUCUGAAAGUUGACCAACGUCGUUAAGAAAAUCGAGCUCGAAGCCCAUACGGUUAAGGGCACUGGUAUAAAAACAUGCAAAUUGGUCUUCAGUAGUAACUGCUUUGUAUCGAAUGCUUCCUGAGGUGAAAAGUUUACCACAAUCUAUUGUGCUCCCUAAUAUAUUUGCAAGAUACAAGCUUUGAGACUCUUCCCUUCAUGCAUUCCUAACUCCUUCCCUUCACUGAAGUAUAAAGCAAACACCUAGCAGAGAACUUGCUGUUUUUUCAAUCGCUAGAAGUGUGACUAAAGAUGGUCGGUAUCACUCAUGACUCAUAUAUGGUAUUUGGAGGGCUGGCGUUGCUCCACGAUCAAGCGUGGAAUAAAGCAAAACUUUUGAUUUUCAUUCGUUUUGCAUCUUUGUGUUUUUCUUCUGUUUAUUAUAG
Molecule: long non-coding RNA, 625 nt
Organism: Arabidopsis lyrata subsp. lyrata
Lineage: Eukaryota; Viridiplantae; Streptophyta; Magnoliopsida; Brassicales; Brassicaceae
Exons: 3
Source: RefSeq, a predicted model, not a curated record